RNAcentral lists this ribosomal RNA (409 nucleotides) under uncultured bacterium. RNAcentral describes it as "bacterial SSU rRNA". It matches the Rfam family "Bacterial small subunit ribosomal RNA", at positions 335 to 734 of the family's 1533-position model. The record is from RNAcentral.
ACUCCUACGGGAGGCAGCAGUGGGGAAUAUUGCACAAUGGGGGAAACCCUGAUGCAGCCAUGCCGCGUGUGUGAAGAAGGCCUUCGGGUUGUAAAGCACUUUCAGUAGGGAGGAAGGUAGUGUAGUUAACACCUGCAUUAUUUGUACGUUACCUACAGAAGAAGCACCGGCUAACUCCGUGCCAGCAGCCGCGGUAAGUACGGAGGGUGCGAGCGUUAAUCGGAAUUACUGGGCGUAAAGCGCAUGCAGGCGGCCUGUUAAGUCAGAUGUGAAAGCCCGGGGCUUAACCUCGGAAUUGCAUUUGAAACUGGCAGGCUAGAGUCUUGUAGAGGGGUUAGAAUUUCAGGUGUAGCGGUGAAAUGCGUAGAGAUCUGAAGGAAUACCGAGUGGCGAAGGCGGCCCCGUGGAC